Molecule: long non-coding RNA, 416 nt
Filed under: Vigna radiata
Lineage: Eukaryota; Viridiplantae; Streptophyta; Magnoliopsida; Fabales; Fabaceae
Description: long non-coding RNA (VRAD_LNC011754)
Source: RNAcentral
AGGCCCAAAGAGGUUUGUUGGAAGGGUGACUAAGGGUUGUGGCUGAAGUAUUAUUUGGUGAGGGUUUAGGUCUUAUUGAGAGGUUGAGGUUGUGGCUUGGUAUGGAGGGCUAGUUGUUUGAAUAAAUGGGUCAACAUCUUCGAAGGUAGGGGUAGAGGUUCAUGGAGGUGGAGAGGGAGAAGCUUCUUCUAUAGAGGAUACUUCUGGAAUGGUAGGUAGAUUAAGGGGUGGAAGACAAACUUCUUUGGAUAAUUCUUCGUCUAGAGCAGUCAUCACAAAGGUUGUAAAUAAGUGUACUGCAACAUGACACAUAACUUUCUAAAGAAUCAUUGUUGUUGAAAAGCAUUGGUUGAGGAAAAUAUGUCCCUUUAGGCAGUGCUCUAAAAAGAUGUCGUCCAAUGGCAUUGUGAUAUGCC